CGACCGCUGGCGGCGUGCUUCACACAUGCAAGUCGAACGGAAAGGCCCUGCUUUUGUGGGGUGCUCGAGUGGCGAACGGGUGAGUAACACGUGAGUAACCUGCCCUUGACUUUGGGAUAACUUCAGGAAACUGGGGCUAAUACCGGAUAGGAGCUCCUGCUGCAUGGUGGGGGUUGGAAAGUUUCGGCGGUUGGGGAUGGACUCGCGGCUUAUCAGCUUGUUGGUGGGGUAGUGGCUUACCAAGGCUUUGACGGGUAGCCGGCCUGAGAGGGUGACCGGCCACAUUGGGACUGAGAUACGGCCCAGACUCCUACGGGAGGCAGCAGUGGGGAAUAUUGCACAAUGGGCGGAAGCCUGAUGCAGCAACGCCGCGUGCGGGAUGACGGCCUUCGGGUUGUAAGCCGCUUUCGCCUGUGACGAAGCGUGAGUGACGGUAAUGGGUAAAGAAGCACCGGCUAACUACGUG
RNAcentral lists this ribosomal RNA (466 nucleotides) under uncultured bacterium. Its description in RNAcentral is "partial 16S ribosomal RNA". It matches the Rfam family "Bacterial small subunit ribosomal RNA", at positions 30 to 507 of the family's 1533-position model. The record is from RNAcentral.